CAUGAGUGUAUAUUAGAAUUGUUGUAGUUAAAAAGCUCGUAGUCGGAAAUUAUUUUUUGAGUCAUUUUAAAAUUCUUCAAUUUUGUUCAGCCUAUGGUUGAGAAAAUUGAAAUUUAAAAUCCAAAAAAUAUUAAAGGAAGAUUAGAAGGAUUUCAGAUUUUAUUUGGAGUUCUUUUAUUCAUCCAUUUUACUUUGAAAAAAUUAGAGUGUUCAAAGCAAGUUUUUUUCAGCCAGCCUUGUGUUGCGCGAAAAUACCAAACAACUUUUGAAUAUUUCAGCAUGGGAUAAUAAAAUAAGACUUUAUUUAUUUAAUUUUAUUGGUUUUAUAAAUAUCAACUUUAUAAUAAGGUAAUGAUUAAUAUAAUCAAUUUGGGAUAUUUGUAUUUCAUAGCUAGAGGUGAAAUUCUUGGAUUUAUGAAAGACAAACAUAAGCGAAAGCAUUUAUCAGGGAUGUUUUAAUUGA
RNAcentral lists this ribosomal RNA (463 nucleotides) under uncultured eukaryote. RNAcentral describes it as "partial 18S ribosomal RNA". It matches the Rfam family "Eukaryotic small subunit ribosomal RNA", at positions 592 to 976 of the family's 1831-position model. The record is from RNAcentral.